RNAcentral lists this ribosomal RNA (253 nucleotides) under uncultured bacterium. Its description in RNAcentral is "partial 16S ribosomal RNA". It matches the Rfam family "Bacterial small subunit ribosomal RNA", at positions 524 to 776 of the family's 1533-position model. The record is from RNAcentral.
UACGUAGGGAGCAAGCGUUGUCCGGAAUCACUGGGCGUAAAGGGCGCGUAGGUGGCCCCGUAAGUGUGUGGUGAAAGCCCGGGGCUCAACCCCGGGUCGGCCAUGCAAACUGGGGGGCUGGAGCACUGUAGAGGCAGGCGGAAUUCCGGGUGUAGCGGUGGAAUGCGUAGAGAUCCGGAAGAACACCGGUGGCGAAGGCGGCCUGCUGGGCAGUUGCUGACACUGAGGCGCGACAGCGUGGGGAGCAAACAGG